This 71-nucleotide transfer RNA is filed under the name Phlebopus portentosus. RNAcentral's name for it is "tRNA-Pro (CGG) (tRNA-Pro-CGG-1-1)". It matches the Rfam family "tRNA". Rfam says of the family: Transfer RNA (tRNA) molecules are approximately 80 nucleotides in length. Their secondary structure includes four short double-helical elements and three loops (D, anti-codon, and T loops). RNAcentral also lists the same sequence under 1 other name. The record is from RNAcentral. Lineage: Eukaryota; Fungi; Basidiomycota; Agaricomycetes; Boletales; Boletinellaceae.
GGCUCAAUGGUCUAGUAGCAUGAUACGUGCUUCGGGUGUACGUGACCCGGGUUCAAUUCCCGGUUGAGCCC